UGUGCCAGCAGCCGCGGUAAUACGAAGGGUGCAAGCGUUACUCGGAAUUACUGGGCGUAAAGCGUGCGUAGGUGGUUCGUUAAGUCUGAUGUGAAAGCCCUGGGCUCAACCUGGGAACUGCAUUGGAUACUGGCGAUCUGGAGUGCGGUAGAGGGUAGCGGAAUUCCCGGUGCAGCAGUGAAAUGCGUAGAUAUCGGGAGGAACAUCCGUGGCGAAGGCGGCUACCUGGACCAGCACUGACACUGAGGCACGAAAGCGUGGGGAGCAAACAGGAUUAGAU
This 280-nucleotide ribosomal RNA is filed under the name uncultured Lysobacterales bacterium. RNAcentral describes it as "uncultured Xanthomonadales bacterium partial 16S ribosomal RNA". It matches the Rfam family "Bacterial small subunit ribosomal RNA", at positions 504 to 783 of the family's 1533-position model. The record is from RNAcentral. Lineage: Bacteria; Pseudomonadati; Pseudomonadota; Gammaproteobacteria; Lysobacterales.